This 636-nucleotide ribosomal RNA is filed under the name Bipolaris sorokiniana. Its description in RNAcentral is "LSU rRNA". It matches the Rfam family "Eukaryotic large subunit ribosomal RNA", at positions 34 to 686 of the family's 3401-position model. Lineage: Eukaryota; Fungi; Ascomycota; Dothideomycetes; Pleosporales; Pleosporaceae. The record is from RNAcentral.
CUAGCAUAUCAAUAAGCGGAGGAAAAGAAACCAACAGGGAUUGCCCUAGUAACGGCGAGUGAAGCGGCAACAGCUCAAAUUUGAAAUCUGGCUCUUUCAGAGUCCGAGUUGUAAUUUGCAGAGGGCGCUUUGGCUUUGGCAGCGGUCCAAGUUCCUUGGAACAGGACGUCACAGAGGGUGAGAAUCCCGUACGUGGUCGCUAGCUAUUGCCGUGUAAAGCCCCUUCGACGAGUCGAGUUGUUUGGGAAUGCAGCUCUAAAUGGGAGGUAAAUUUCUUCUAAAGCUAAAUAUUGGCCAGAGACCGAUAGCGCACAAGUAGAGUGAUCGAAAGAUGAAAAGCACUUUGGAAAGAGAGUCAAACAGCACGUGAAAUUGUUGAAAGGGAAGCGCUUGCAGCCAGACUUGCUUGCAGUUGCUCAUCCGGGCUUUUGCCCGGUGCACUCUUCUGUAGGCAGGCCAGCAUCAGUUUGGGCGGUGGGAUAAAGGUCUCUGUCACGUACCUCUCUUCGGGGAGGCCUUAUAGGGGAGACGACAUACCACCAGCCUAGACUGAGGUCCGCGCAUCUGCUAGGAUGCUGGCGUAAUGGCUGUAAGCGGCCCGUCUUGAAACACGGACCAAGGAGUCUAACAUCUAUG